GGGGCCUUAGCUCAGCUGGGAGAGCGUCGCACUUGCACUGCGAAGGUCAACGGUUCGAUCCCGUUAGGCUCCACCA
RNAcentral lists this transfer RNA (76 nucleotides) under compost metagenome. RNAcentral describes it as "tRNA-Ala". It matches the Rfam family "tRNA". From Rfam's summary of the family: Transfer RNA (tRNA) molecules are approximately 80 nucleotides in length. Their secondary structure includes four short double-helical elements and three loops (D, anti-codon, and T loops). The record is from RNAcentral.